UACGAACUGUGCAAACGUUAUUCGGAAUUACUGGGCGUAAAGCGUGCGCAGGCGGUUGUGGAAGACAGAUGUGAAAUCCCCGGGCUCAACCUGGGAAUUGCAUUUGUGACUGCACGGCUAGAGUGUGUCAGAGGGGGGUAGAAUUCCACGUGUAGCAGUGAAAUGCGUAGAGAUGUGGAGGAAUACCGAUGGCGAAGGCAGCCCCCUGGGAUAACACUGACGCUCAUGCACGAAAGCGUGGGGAGCAAACAGG
Molecule: ribosomal RNA, 253 nt
Filed under: uncultured bacterium
Lineage: Bacteria
Description: partial 16S ribosomal RNA
Rfam family: Bacterial small subunit ribosomal RNA
Source: RNAcentral